Molecule: unclassified non-coding RNA, 2778 nt
Filed under: Agrilus planipennis (emerald ash borer)
Lineage: Eukaryota; Metazoa; Arthropoda; Insecta; Coleoptera; Buprestidae
Description: monocarboxylate transporter 2-like, transcript variant X5
Source: RNAcentral
GUUUAGUAUUGUGUGAUACAAAAGCAUUACUGAUAGUAUUUACAUUAAUAUAUUUAUGUUAAAAAUAGUUGAAUUAGUUAGUGUAGUGAUGCGGUGUAAAAACUGACGAUUGCUGUACAUUCUGUUUCAUAUUUAGGUGCCUUUUUGUGAUGCACCUUAGAGAAAGUGCCCAAUCUGCCCGGUCCCAAAGUUGGUCUACUCCGUCAGCAAGUCCGUCACCACCACCCCCGCCACUUCCACCGCCGGUAAUUAAUAGAUGGGCUCGAGCAGAACGUAACAGUGGGGAAUUGUGUCCCCACUGCAGGGGGCACAUUGCAUCUCUUCCAACGAGAACAACGUCUUUAAGCAGUUACUCCAUUUGCAAAGAUAGAACAACACCCAUAUCCCGUCUGCCGGAAGAUGAAGAUUCAUUUCCUGUCCUAUGCGAUCGAGAAUUGCAUUCGUUGCACAGAAAUAUCCCGGCGUUGCGACGAAGGGAUGUAGACACUGCCACCAUAAAACAACACUACUAUCCCGAAGGAGGAUGGGGAUGGUUAGUUUGUGGUGCUGCCUUUUUGGCUUACCUACUUACAUCAGGUUUUCAACUAGCUUUUGGCCUUCUAUACCUUUAUGUGAUAAAGUUCCUUAUCAAAGAACAUAUGAAUAAACAAUUUUAUUCUAUGGCAACAGCCUGGAUGGGUGCUAUGUGUUUAAGCAUUUCGUUCCUGAUAGCACCCUUCGUGGUUGCCGUAUCCAGAAGAAAAUCGACGAGAUUAGCGGCCGUAAUGGGAGGUCUAUUGAUGGCCUUGGCCUGCCUAUUUACUUCUUUCGCGGUGCAGUUCCAUCAGGCUCUUUUAAGUUAUGGCGUCGUAUUAGGUGCAGGGGCUGGAAUUGUUAGGGAAACGUCAGGAUUAGUUUUAGGACACUAUUUUAAGAAACGAAGAGAAUUUGUGGAGAUGGUUGCCCAAUCGGGAACAGGAGUGGGAAUGGCCUUAUUCUCCGUACUGUACAAAGAGGCUGUCGGAAAAUUAGGAUGGAGACUAGGGCUUCAUUCGGUUACGGGACUUUUAGCGUUAGCCUUCUUCCUACCUAUUGUUUAUCGCUCUGCGAAUUUGUAUCAUCCACAACGAAGGGCAAUAAUGCAUCUCAAAAACCAAAGAAAGAAAAUGAAAGAGAAAAAAACUCACGCCAAAGGAAAGAAACCGGCAAUGUUCGAUUUUACCCCGCUUAAGAGUAGGGGACUUCGAGUUCUUUUGGUUGCUAGUGCUACAGGAUCUUUAGGGGUUUAUAGUCCAAUUUUUUAUUUGGCUUUGCAAGGCCACGACGAAGGAUUGGAAGACAGUGCCCUAGUCUUGUUGCAGACAUUUCUAGGGUUCGCAACAGCUUUAGGAUUUGUAGGUUUCGGACUCAUAAUCGUUCGACCAAACACUCAGUGUCUUAUAUCGCGACAGUAUCUGUGUCAAACGUCGCUAAUUGGCAUAGGUAUUUCUCUUCUGGCCCUAAGCGCUGUUCAGGGCUAUCACGGUUACGUAUUAUUUGUAUGGUUGUAUGGCGUUUGUCUUGGAGGCUUCGAUUACUCCCUUAAAAUGUUUACAUUGGAACGAAUUCGUACACGUCACUUUACCAAAGCUUGGAGCUUCGUUCAAGGCGCCAAAUCCGUGCCUGUGCUCAUCGGGAUUCCGAUAACGGGUUACAUGAACCAAAUACAUCCCAAAGCUGGUUACUAUUUCAGCUUCGGUACAACUCUAGUCAGUGCAAGUCUCAUGUUCUUGGUAGGUCAUCGUAAGGACUCUAGCAAUGGAAACUACAGUUUCAGCCCAAAAAUGAACGAGUGCAUUUGCAAUUUGAACAACCACUACAUCACAGAGGUGCCCUAUAAUGUAUAUAGACCACCGCCACUCAACCAGUACGAACAGUUCCUCCCCAGUUACGAUCAUUUGGACAGAAGCAGUUUUUGUAGACAUUCGUCCAUGAAGCAUCGAUACGAUCGACCAGUAGUUCGACAUUGUUUACCAAAGAGCCAAAGCUACGUGGCCAAUAUACACCAUUCAGCUCAUCCCAGUAUGAUUUGCCUGAACAGAAGCCCGGGAGUUACGUAUCCCCACAAGUAUUCGCAUGGAAAUUUGAGAGCCACCAGAAGUGUUCCUGAGGGAUUAGCGAGAUGGAGCCAUUAUGGAUCUUGUCGUAGACCUAUUAUACGGGAUGUUCAUGUUAUAGAACAAAUUACUACUUCUGUUUAGGUGAUUAUUCUGAUAUGUUCUUAACCAUUCGUAUUCAUAUAGUUACACAGCUUUCUUGUUAAAAAUCUGUCAUUCUUAAGAAACCAAUUAAACAGGUUUUAUACAUCAGGUAAAUUUUAACACUCAUUUUUUUGAAAAUUUAUUACAACUCUUUAAAAUAAAUAAUGUAUCAAGUGGUCAGCUAAAAUUAAAUUUAUAAAUUAAUACUUAUGUGUUAAUUAUCCCUAUUAAUUCUUUUCUUUUGCUGUUUAUUAAAGAGUUUGAUAACUGCCAGAAACCUCUGCCAUUUUUUGGUACCCAUACGAGAAAAGGAGAUCCGUACUUUUUGAGCUUUGCAUGCUUAUUUACUUAGCUUUCUAUCUACAUUGAAAUGGUAAAUCUAAAACAUCUCCCACCUUGGGUUGUCUCCAAAGAGCAUUUUGAAGAUUUUGACGUAUUGAAUAAUGUGAUGCAGCAGCUGAACCAAACAAAAAUGGCUUGUAAGUAUAAAAAUCCGACUUGUCAGAAUGAGUUUCGUACCUAAAAGGUAUUAAAAAAAAUACAAUGAAACAGUCGAACA